This 492-nucleotide ribosomal RNA is filed under the name uncultured bacterium. Its description in RNAcentral is "bacterial SSU rRNA". It matches the Rfam family "Bacterial small subunit ribosomal RNA", at positions 8 to 518 of the family's 1533-position model. The record is from RNAcentral.
AGAGUUGAUCCUGGCUUAGGACGAACGCUGGCGGCGUGCCUAACACAUGCAAGUCGAGCGAGGAGAUCCUCGGGAUGAUCCUAGCGGCGGACGGGUGAGUAACACGUGGGCAACCUGCCUCAUAGAGAGGAAUAGCCUUCCGAAAGGGAGAUUAAUACCUCAUAACAUUGCAGUUUCGCAUGGAACAGCAAUUAAAGGAGUAAUCCGCUAUGAGAUGGGCCCGCGGCGCAUUAGCUAGUUGGUGAGGUAAUGGCUCACCAAGGCGACGAUGCGUAGCCGACCUGAGAGGGUGAUCGGCCACAUUGGGACUGAGACACGGCCCAGACUCCUACGGGAGGCAGCAGGUGGGGAAUAUUGCACAAUGGGGGAAACCCUGAUGCAAGCAACGCCGCGUGAGUGAUGACGGCCUUCGGGUUGUAAAGCUCUGUCUUCAGGGACGAUAAUGACGGUACCUGAGGAGGAAGCCACGGCUAACUACGUGCCAGCCGCAGC